Molecule: ribosomal RNA, 378 nt
Filed under: uncultured beta proteobacterium
Lineage: Bacteria; Pseudomonadati; Pseudomonadota; Betaproteobacteria
Description: bacterial SSU rRNA
Rfam family: Bacterial small subunit ribosomal RNA
Source: RNAcentral
GAUUUGAUCCUGGCUCAGGAUAAACGCUGGCGGCGUGCCUUAUGCAUGCAAGUCGAACGUGAAGCCCGGCUUCGGCGGGUGGAAAGUGGCGAACGGGUGAGUAACACGUAGGAACCUGCCCGGAAGUAGGGGGAUAACGUCCGCGAAAGCGGGGCUAAUACCGCAUGUGGUCGAAAGACUAAAGCUUCGGUGCUUCCGGAGGGGCCUGCGGCGGAUUAGCUAGUUGGUGGGGUAAUGGCCUACCAAGGCGACGAUCCGUAGCUGGUCUGAGAGGAUGGUCAGCCACACUGGGACUGAGACACGGCCCAGACUCCUACGGGAGGCAGCAAUGGGGAAUUUUGGACAAUGGGGGCAACCCUGAUCCAGCCAUUCCGCGUG